GAGUACAUAGUUUAACCAAAACAUUAGAUUGUGAUUCUGAAAAUAGAAGUUAAAACCUUCUUGCACUCC
This 69-nucleotide transfer RNA is filed under the name Trimma taylori (yellow cave goby). Its description in RNAcentral is "tRNA-His". It matches the Rfam family "tRNA". From Rfam's summary of the family: Transfer RNA (tRNA) molecules are approximately 80 nucleotides in length. Their secondary structure includes four short double-helical elements and three loops (D, anti-codon, and T loops). Lineage: Eukaryota; Metazoa; Chordata; Actinopteri; Gobiiformes; Gobiidae. The record is from RNAcentral.